UAAAAAUCCUGAGAUAGUCUGCCUCACUAA
This 30-nucleotide non-coding RNA is filed under the name Rattus norvegicus (Norway rat). The record is from RNAcentral. Lineage: Eukaryota; Metazoa; Chordata; Mammalia; Rodentia; Muridae.